This 935-nucleotide ribosomal RNA is filed under the name uncultured Acinetobacter sp. RNAcentral's name for it is "bacterial SSU rRNA". It matches the Rfam family "Bacterial small subunit ribosomal RNA", at positions 1 to 879 of the family's 1533-position model. The record is from RNAcentral. Lineage: Bacteria; Pseudomonadati; Pseudomonadota; Gammaproteobacteria; Moraxellales; Moraxellaceae.
CGCGUUGGGAGCUCUCCCAUAUGGUCGACCUGCAGGCGGCCGCGAAUUCACUAGUGAUUAGAGUUUGAUCAUGGCUCAGAUUGAACGCUGGCGGCAGGCUUAACACAUGCAAGUCGAGCGGAGUGAUGGUGCUUGCACUGUCACUUAGCGGCGGACGGGUGAGUAAUGCUUAGGAAUCUGCCUAUUAGUGGGGGACAACAUUUCGAAAGGAAUGCUAAUACCGCAUACGUCCUACGGGAGAAAGCAGGGGAUCUUCGGACCUUGCGCUAAUAGAUGAGCCUAAGUCGGAUUAGCUAGUUGGUGGGGUAAAGGCCUACCAAGGCGACGAUCUGUAGCGGGUCUGAGAGGAUGAUCCGCCACACUGGGACUGAGACACGGCCCAGACUCCUACGGGAGGCAGCAGUGGGGAAUAUUGGACAAUGGGCGCAAGCCUGAUCCAGCCAUGCCGCGUGUGUGAAGAAGGCCUUAUGGUUGUAAAGCACUUUAAGCGAGGAGGAGGCUACUGAAGUUAAUACCUUCAGAUAGUGGACGUUACUCGCAGAAUAAGCACCGGCUAACUCUGUGCCAGCAGCCGCGGUAAUACAGAGGGUGCAAGCGUUAAUCGGAUUUACUGGGCGUAAAGCGCGCGUAGGCGGCUAAUUAAGUCAAAUGUGAAAUCCCCGAGCUUAACUUGGGAAUUGCAUUCGAUACUGGUUAGCUAGAGUGUGGGAGAGGAUGGUAGAAUUCCAGGUGUAGCGGUGAAAUGCGUAGAGAUCUGGAGGAAUACCGAUGGCGAAGGCAGCCAUCUGGNCUAACACUGACGCUGAGGUGCGAAAGCAUGGGGAGCAAACAGGAUUAGAUACCCUGGUAGUCCAUGCCGUAAACGAUGUCUACUAGCCGUUGGGGCCUUUGAGCUUUAGUGGCGCAGCUAACGCGAUAAGUAGACCGCCUGGGGA